This 320-nucleotide ribosomal RNA is filed under the name Edwardsiella anguillarum. RNAcentral describes it as "bacterial SSU rRNA". It matches the Rfam family "Bacterial small subunit ribosomal RNA", at positions 1 to 313 of the family's 1533-position model. The record is from RNAcentral. Lineage: Bacteria; Pseudomonadati; Pseudomonadota; Gammaproteobacteria; Enterobacterales; Hafniaceae.
UUUAAUUGAAGAGUUUGAUCAUGGCUCAGAUUGAACGCUGGCGGCAGGCUUAACACAUGCAAGUCGAGCGGUAGCAGGGAGAAAGCUUGCUUUCUCCGCUGACGAGCGGCGGACGGGUGAGUAAUGUCUGGGGAUCUGCCUGAUGGAGGGGGAUAACUACUGGAAACGGUAGCUAAUACCGCAUAACGUCGCAAGACCAAAGUGGGGGACCUUCGGGCCUCAUGCCAUCAGAUGAACCCAGAUGGGAUUAGCUAGUAGGUGGGGUAAUGGCUCACCUAGGCGACGAUCCCUAGCUGGUCUGAGAGGAUGACCAGCCACAC